GUCUUCGAGGAGCGUUGCGACGGAUGUCACCCAUCCGCCAGGCUCGAAGGCGCUCAAUACGGUCGCUUCCCGGUUUCAUGCCGCAGUCGCACCGCACUGAAAAACGGCGCUCACGUCUU
RNAcentral lists this non-coding RNA (119 nucleotides) under Paraburkholderia tropica. Its description in RNAcentral is "SAH_riboswitch". It matches the Rfam family "SAH (S-adenosyl-L-homocysteine) riboswitch aptamer". Lineage: Bacteria; Pseudomonadati; Pseudomonadota; Betaproteobacteria; Burkholderiales; Burkholderiaceae. The record is from RNAcentral.